This 819-nucleotide ribosomal RNA is filed under the name marine metagenome. RNAcentral's name for it is "bacterial SSU rRNA". It matches the Rfam family "Bacterial small subunit ribosomal RNA", at positions 8 to 822 of the family's 1533-position model. The record is from RNAcentral.
AGAGUUUGAUCAUGGCUCAGAUUGAACGCUGGCGGCAGGCCUAACACAUGCAAGUCGAGCGGUAGAGAGAAGCUUGCUUCUCUUGAGAGCGGCGGACGGGUGAGUAAUGCCUAGGAAUCUGCCUGGUAGUGGGGGAUAACGUUCGGAAACGGACGCUAAUACCGCAUACGUCCUACGGGAGAAAGCAGGGGACCUUCGGGCCUUGCGCUAUCAGAUGAGCCUAGGUCGGAUUAGCUAGUUGGUGAGGUAAUGGCUCACCAAGGCGACGAUCCGUAACUGGUCUGAGAGGAUGAUCAGUCACACUGGAACUGAGACACGGUCCAGACUCCUACGGGAGGCAGCAGUGGGGAAUAUUGGACAAUGGGCGAAAGCCUGAUCCAGCCAUGCCGCGUGUGUGAAGAAGGUCUUCGGAUUGUAAAGCACUUUAAGUUGGGAGGAAGGGCAGUAAAUUAAUACUUUGCUGUUUUGACGUUACUGACAGAAUAAGCACCGGCUAACUCUGUGCCAGCAGCCGCGGUAAUACAGAGGGUGCAAGCGUUAAUCGGAAUUACUGGGCGUAAAGCGCGCGUAGGUGGUUUGUUAAGUUGGAUGUGAAAUCCCCGGGCUCAACCUGGGAACUGCAUUCAAAACUGACUGACUAGAGUAUGGUAGAGGGUGGUGGAAUUUCCUGUGUAGCGGUGAAAUGCGUAGAUAUAGGAAGGAACACCAGGUGGCGAAGCGACCACCUGGACUAAUACUGACACUGAGGUGCGAAAGCGUGGGGAGCAAACAGGAUUAGAUACCCUGGUAGUCCACGCCGUAAACGAUGUCAACUAGCCG